UGGGAGAAAAAAUGGAUCUGGUUUAUUGGCAUUUCUUUAAACAAAUCACAAUCAUCAUGUAUGGCUCUAAGCUCCAGACGGAGCCAGAGUGCCUCUGCCAAAUAGUCUCAGGAAGGAAGUUGUUUUGGUGGAACAUGUGUACGUUCAGAGGUAGUUUUAGUCUUCAACAGAAAACUCAGAUUGGACAGAUAGUCUAGCUAGCUGUCUGGAUUU
Long non-coding RNA from Etheostoma cragini (Arkansas darter), 213 nucleotides. RefSeq lists it as uncharacterized. The record is from RefSeq and is a predicted model, not a curated record. Lineage: Eukaryota; Metazoa; Chordata; Actinopteri; Perciformes; Percidae. The transcript is spliced from 3 exons.